AUUUGCACAAAGAGGACAGCAGGGGACAGAGCAGGAGCUAAGGAGGGACACACUGCUUGGCUGGCACUCUGGGCUAACCAGAAUGGACCAAGGUUGGCUCUACGAACCCUGAGACUUUAUUUUCCAUCUCUCUCCUUGUUCCAUCCUGUGUUCUCAGGAGGCACUGAGAUGUACUAACAGUUUCAAGCUCCUUCAGUAUGGCAACUUUAUCUCCUACACCCACUACAUUCCCAUGUGCCUGGCUGAAUCUUUAGGAUCCCCACCAAUCAAUGUCUCCCUGCGCCCACAUUUAACCACUUCUGCCAGAGGAUCCAUGUCAUAAAUAUGCCUCCUUUUGAAGGCUGUCAAAGUCACUGCUGCUGUCAGGUGGCAAAGUUUGUGUGGAAGCCCAGUUUCUUCUCCCAGGGGCUCAGAAUGCCACCUCUGCAGUUUCCAGAGUUCAGAGAGAGGUGAUGGGUCUGUCCGUUUUGGAUUUCACGGAUUUCUCUUGUGACAGGUCACAACAGCAACAUCACCAAGCUGAC
Long non-coding RNA from Mauremys reevesii (Reeves's turtle), 524 nucleotides. RefSeq lists it as uncharacterized. The record is from RefSeq and is a predicted model, not a curated record. NCBI's taxonomy places the organism in Eukaryota, Metazoa, Chordata, Testudines, Geoemydidae. The transcript is spliced from 3 exons.